Molecule: ribosomal RNA, 1278 nt
Filed under: Staphylococcus pseudintermedius
Lineage: Bacteria; Bacillati; Bacillota; Bacilli; Caryophanales; Staphylococcaceae
Description: partial 23S ribosomal RNA
Rfam family: Bacterial large subunit ribosomal RNA
Source: RNAcentral
AACUUGUUCCUCGAGUCGUUGAUUUCACACUGCCGAGAAAAGCCUCUAGCUAGAAUAACGGUGCCCGUACCGCAAACCGACACAGGUAGUCAAGAUGAGAAUUCUAAGGUGAGCGAGCGAACUCUCGUUAAGGAACUCGGCAAAAUGACCCCGUAACUUCGGGAGAAGGGGUGCUCUUUGAGGUUCACGCUUCGAAGAGCCGCAGUGAAUAGGCCCAAGCGACUGUUUAUCAAAAACACAGGUCUCUGCUAAACCGUAAGGUGACGUAUAGGGGCUGACGCCUGCCCGGUGCUGGAAGGUUAAGAGGAGUGGUUAGCGCAAGCGAAGCUACGAAUCGAAGCCCCAGUAAACGGCGGCCGUAACUAUAACGGUCCUAAGGUAGCGAAAUUCCUUGUCGGGUAAGUUCCGACCCGCACGAAAGGCGUAACGAUUUGGGCACUGUCUCAACGAGAGACUCGGUGAAAUCAUAGUACCGGUGAAGAUGCCGGUUACCCGCGACAGGACGGAAAGACCCCGUGGAGCUUUACUGUAGCCUGAUAUUGAAAUUCGGUACAGUUUGUACAGGAUAGGUAGGAGCCUUAGAAGCGUGAGCGCUAGCUUACGUGGAGGCAUUGGUGGGAUACUACCCUAAUUGUAUUGGAUUUCUAACCCGCAGCACUUAUCGUGCUGGGAGACAGUGUCAGGCGGGCAGUUUGACUGGGGCGGUCGCCUCCUAAAGAGUAACGGAGGCGCUCAAAGGUUCCCUCAGAAUGGUUGGAAAUCAUUCAUAGAGUGUAAAGGCAUAAGGGAGCUUGACUGCGAGACCUACAAGUCGAGCAGGGUCGAAAGACGGACUUAGUGAUCCGGUGGUUCCGCAUGGAAGGGCCAUCGCUCAACGGAUAAAAGCUACCCCGGGGAUAACAGGCUUAUCUCCCCCAAGAGUUCACAUCGACGGGGAGGUUUGGCACCUCGAUGUCGGCUCAUCGCAUCCUGGGGCUGUAGUCGGUCCCAAGGGUUGGGCUGUUCGCCCAUUAAAGCGGUACGCGAGCUGGGUUCAGAACGUCGUGAGACAGUUCGGUCCCUAUCCGUCGUGGGCGUAGGAAAUUUGAGAGGAGCUGUCCUUAGUACGAGAGGACCGGGAUGGACAUACCUCUGGUGUACCAGUUGUCGUGCCAACGGCAUAGCUGGGUAGCUAUGUAUGGACGGGAUAAGUGCUGAAAGCAUCUAAGCAUGAAGCCCCCCUCGAGAUGAGAUUUCCCAACUUCGGUUAUAAGAUCCCUCAAAGAUGAUGAGGUGAAU